RNAcentral lists this ribosomal RNA (1455 nucleotides) under uncultured bacterium. RNAcentral describes it as "bacterial SSU rRNA". It matches the Rfam family "Bacterial small subunit ribosomal RNA". The record is from RNAcentral.
GACGAACGCUGGCGGCGUGCUUAACACAUGCAAGUCGAACGAGGUCCAUCGGAAAGCUUGCUUUCCGGGAAGACCGAGUGGCGAACGGGUGAGUAACGCGUGGGCAACCUGCCCUGGAGAUUGGGAUAACCGGUGGAAACACCAGCUAAUACCAAAUACCGUUCUUUAAUCUCAUGAUUGAAGAACGAAAUGUUCCGGCGCUCCAGGGUGGGCCCGCGUCCCAUUAGCUUGUUGGUAGGGUAAUGGCCUACCAAGGCGACGAUGGGUAGCCGGCCUGAGAGGGUGAACGGCCACACUGGGACUGAGACACGGCCCAGACUCCUACGGGAGGCAGCAGUGGGGAAUAUUGCGCAAUGGGCGAAAGCCUGACGCAGCAACGCCGCGUGGAGGAUGAAGGUUUUCGGAUUGUAAACUCCUUUCAGCAGGGACGAAGCCGCAAGGUGACGGUACCUGCAGAAGAAGCCCCGGCUAACUACGUGCCAGCAGCCGCGGUAAUACGUAGGGGGCAAGCGUUGUCCGGAAUUAUUGGGCGUAAAGCGCGCGCAGGCGGCCCGCCAAGUCAGAUGUGAAAUCCCUCGGCUCAACCGAGGACCUGCAUUUGAAACUGGUAGGCUAGAGUACAGGAGAGGGAAAUGGAAUUCCUAGUGUAGCGGUGAAAUGCGCAGAUAUUAGGAAGAACACCGGUGGCGAAGGCGGUUUCCUGGACUGUUACUGACGCUGAGGUGCGAAAGCUAGGGGAGCAAACAGGAUUAGAUACCCUGGUAGUCCUAGCCGUAAACGAUGGUCACUAGGUGUAGGGGGUUAUCAACUCCCCCUGUGCCGAAGCUAACGCAUUAAGUGACCCGCCUGGGGAGUACGGCCGCAAGGCUAAAACUCAAAGGAAUUGACGGGGGCCCGCACAAGCGGCGGAGCAUGUGGCUUAAUUCGACGCAACGCGAAGAACCUUACCUGGACUUGACAUAUAAGCGAAAGCUGUGGAAACAUGGCCCCCCUUUCGGGCGCUUAUACAGGUGGUGCAUGGUUGUCGUCAGCUCGUGUCGUGAGAUGUUGGGUUAAGUCCCGCAACGAGCGCAACCCCUAUCCUAUGUUGCCAGCAUUCAGUUGGGGACUCAUGGGAGACUGCCGGUGUCAAACCGGAGGAAGGUGGGGACGACGUCAAAUCAUCAUGCCCCUUAUGUCCAGGGCUGCACACGUGCUACAAUGGCCGGUACAAUGGGCAGCGACGGAGCGAUCCUGAGCGAAUCCCUUAAAACCGGUCCCAGUUCGGAUCGGAGGCUGAAACUCGCCUCCAUGAAGUCGGAGUCGCUAGUAAUCGCGGAUCAGCAUGCCGCGGUGAAUGCGUUCCCGGGCCUUGUACACACCGCCCGUCACACCACCCGAGUUGUUUGCACCCGAAGUCACUGGCCCAACCCGCAAGGGAGGGAGGUGCCGAAGGUGUGAAGAGUAAGGGGGGUG